UUGUCUUUUAUAAACUUCCUUCCCGGUUAAGGGCUUUGGAGCGACACGAUAAUCUUAAAUUUCCAUUAAAAGCCUUAUGUAAUCUACGAUAUUUAUGAUUAAGUCUUAGAAGUUUUUGAUUCCCAAGGUAAAUAGUUUUUUUCUCCAUUUUUUAAUUGGUGGAAGCAUGUAUCAUUUUCACAUAUUCGACACGCUUUAUGUUCC
This 204-nucleotide long non-coding RNA is filed under the name Lathyrus oleraceus (garden pea). RNAcentral's name for it is "Pisum sativum (pea) long non-coding RNA (PSAT_LNC010972)". The record is from RNAcentral. Lineage: Eukaryota; Viridiplantae; Streptophyta; Magnoliopsida; Fabales; Fabaceae.